CCUACGGGCGGCUGCAGUAAGGAAUAUUGGUCAAUGGACGGAAGUCUGAACCAGCCAUCCCGCGUGCAGGAAGAAGGUCCUAUGGAUUGUAAACUGCUUUUAGCAGAGACGAAACGCCUUCAUUUAUGGGGGUUUGACGGUAUCUGCGGAAUAAGCACCGGCUAACUCCGUGCCAGCAGCCGCGGUAAUACGGAGGGUGCCGGCGUCACCGGGAUUAACGGGGGCGUAGGCGGGCGAUUAAGUCGGUGGUGAAAGCCUGUAGCUUAACUACAGAAUUGCCAUUGAUACUGAUUUUCUUGAAUUGGGUUGAGGUUAGCGGAAUGUGACAUGUAACGGUGAAAUGUGUAGAUAUGUCAUGGAACACCGAUUGCGAAGGCAGCUAGCUGGGCCUUGAUUGACGCUGAGGCACGAAAGCGUGGGGAGCGAACAGGAUUAGAUACCCUUGUAGUC
RNAcentral lists this ribosomal RNA (450 nucleotides) under uncultured bacterium. RNAcentral describes it as "partial 16S ribosomal RNA". It matches the Rfam family "Bacterial small subunit ribosomal RNA", at positions 338 to 795 of the family's 1533-position model. The record is from RNAcentral.